GCUUAUUCGGUACGGCGGCCCCAACCUCCAGAUAGACUUCGUCAGCUUUGUCCACUUGAUGCUGCGUGCGGAGAACAUGGAAGAUGCCUUCCAGAACUUAACCCAAGAUGGCAAGGGGAUAUACCUUCAGAAGCCAGAGUGGCUGCUGAUGACUCUGUACUCCUGAGGAGGCUGGAGCCCUGUCUGCCUUCACCGAGGACUCUGCAUAUGGUUCAAAGGUAGCCUUCGGCUGAGAUCAGUUCACACUCAACCCAUUUAUCAUUCUUCGGGACCAUGUCUCCAGUCAUCAUCUUCUCAGCUGAGAUUAUUUCUUUUCUGCAGAUCUCCUUUGGAUAGGCAGUGUGCAAAAAGAGAAAGGAGUUAGGAA
RNAcentral lists this long non-coding RNA (367 nucleotides) under Ursus maritimus (polar bear). RNAcentral describes it as "lncRNA (ENSUMAG00000019941.1)". The record is from RNAcentral. Lineage: Eukaryota; Metazoa; Chordata; Mammalia; Carnivora; Ursidae.